AGUGAACGCUGGCGGUAGGCCUAACACAUGCGAGUCGAACGGCAGCACAGUAAGAGCUUGCUCUUACGGGUGGCGAGUGGCGGACGGGUGAGGAAUACAUCGGAAUCUACUUUUUCGUGGGGGAUAACGUAGGGAAACUUACGCUAAUACCGCAUACGACCUACGGGUGAAAGCAGGGGAUCUUCGGACCUUGCGCGAUUGAAUGAGCCGAUGUCGGAUUAGCUAGUUGGCGGGGUAAAGGCCCACCAAGGCGACGAUCCGUAGCUGGUCUGAGAGGAUGAUCAGCCACACUGGAACUGAGACACGGUCCAGACUCCUACGGGAGGCAGCAGUGGGGAAUAUUGGACAAUGGGCGCAAGCCUGAUCCAGCCAUACCGCGUGGGUGAAGAAGGCCUUCGGGUUGUAGAGCCCUUUUGUUGGGAAAGAAAAGCAGCAGGUUAAUACCCCGCUGUUCUGACGGUACCCAAAGAAUAAGCACCGGCUAACUUCGUG
Molecule: ribosomal RNA, 492 nt
Filed under: uncultured bacterium
Lineage: Bacteria
Description: partial 16S ribosomal RNA
Rfam family: Bacterial small subunit ribosomal RNA
Source: RNAcentral